Molecule: long non-coding RNA, 983 nt
Organism: Cimex lectularius (bed bug)
Lineage: Eukaryota; Metazoa; Arthropoda; Insecta; Hemiptera; Cimicidae
Exons: 3
Source: RefSeq, a predicted model, not a curated record
UUUAUUAACUUUUUCACAAUUUAAGUACACAGAUUUUAAUGAUAACAGGUGUUAAUCUACCAACUUAUAACCGUAUCACUCACUACCUUUGCUAAAUUUGAAUAUUUUUUAAAAUAUUUGCCAAAAAUAAUGCAAUAAAUUGCUUCAUCUAGAUAUAAAAUCACAAAAGUUGCAUCGAGGUGUUUAUGUAUAAAUCAUACAGAGCUAAAAAUCAAGAAGCUUAAAGUAAUUGGGAUCAGCUGUAUUUUAUUUUUGGAAUUUUUAUAAACUGUGCUGUGCUGGUAGGGUAAAAUGAAAAAUUGUAUUACAUGAAAUGCAAGAAAAUAAGAUUUUUUUAAAGGGGCCGGAAGGGUAAUUUUCGCCCCGAAACUUUGGCCUAGUGCUCCAAUCCAGCUCAAAUCAUGGAUUUACAAUGACACCAAGACACAAAAGUUGCUUCAGCCCAUCAUUCAAUGUUUUACAGUGCUGUUCUGACCUAUUUUUCUCUGUUCACACUACGAGGUGGGCCUGAGAAGCUUUGGGCAACAAGGAUGGAUAAAAUAAACAAUGAAACCCUCGUACUGGCCAUCUGUUUGGAACACAUUCAGUGCUCAGGAGCUGUAAAAAGAUACCACGGUCAUGCUUGUAAAACUGAAAAAAUUCUCUUCAUGCCUUCAAUUGAGGCCAUAACAUACUAAAAAACCCUUUCUCCGAACGCUCUGAUAUAGAAUGGGAUGGAUCCAUACACACCACUAAUCCAUGAACCUAGUUGUUUUUGACAUCAUUCCUAGUGUGAAAAGUUGCAUGGUUAUCGAACUGACAAAAACUGCUCUGUGUGAACUCACCCUAAUUAUUCCGUACCUUCUACACUAUUUUUACACUUCGUAUAGGAAUGUAAAUAAAAUAUUAGAAACUGAGAAUUCGUUUAAAACAAGCUGUUUAUUGUCCCUAACUUAGAACACCAUUACAAUGGUUAUAAUAAAAAAGAAGAGAAAAGAUGAGGG